GUGCCUGUAGCUGUCAAAUGGUAGACCGGCCGGCUGUGACCCGGCAAGUUGGGGGUUCGAGUCCCCUCAGGCACCCCA
This 78-nucleotide transfer RNA is filed under the name marine sediment metagenome. RNAcentral describes it as "tRNA-His". It matches the Rfam family "tRNA". Rfam says of the family: Transfer RNA (tRNA) molecules are approximately 80 nucleotides in length. Their secondary structure includes four short double-helical elements and three loops (D, anti-codon, and T loops). Further hydrogen bonds mediate the characteristic L-shaped molecular structure. tRNAs have two regions of fundamental functional importance: the anti-codon, which is responsible for specific mRNA codon recognition, and the 3' end, to which the tRNAs corresponding amino acid is attached (by aminoacyl-tRNA synthetases). tRNAs cope with the degeneracy of the genetic code in two manners: having more than one tRNA (with a specific anti-codon) for a particular amino acid; and 'wobble' base-pairing, i.e. permitting non-standard base-pairing at the 3rd anti-codon position. The record is from RNAcentral.